This 445-nucleotide ribosomal RNA is filed under the name uncultured bacterium. Its description in RNAcentral is "partial 16S ribosomal RNA". It matches the Rfam family "Bacterial small subunit ribosomal RNA", at positions 354 to 796 of the family's 1533-position model. The record is from RNAcentral.
GUGGGGAAUAUUGGUCAAUGGGCGGGAGCCUGAACCAGCCAAGUCGCGUGAAGGAAGAAGGAUCUAUGGUUCGUAAACUUCUUUUGCAGGGGAAUAAAGUGCAGGACGUGUCCUGUUUUGUAUGUACCCUGAGAAUAAGGAUCGGCUAACUCCGUGCCAGCAGCCGCGGUAAUACGGAGGAUCCGAGCGUUAUCCGGAUUUAUUGGGUUUAAAGGGUGCGUAGGUGGUUUGAUAAGUCAGCGGUGAAAGUUUGCAGCUUAACUGUAAAAAUGCCGUUGAAACUGUCGGACUUGAGUGUAAAUGAGGUAGGCGGAAUGCGUGGUGUAGCGGUGAAAUGCAUAGAUAUCACGCAGAACUCCGAUUGCGAAGGCAGCUUACUAAGCUACAACUGACACUGAAGCACGAAAGCGUGGGGAUCAAACAGGAUUAGAAACCCCUGUAGUCC